This 2680-nucleotide long non-coding RNA is filed under the name Homo sapiens (human). Its description in RNAcentral is "HSALNT0276739". Lineage: Eukaryota; Metazoa; Chordata; Mammalia; Primates; Hominidae. The record is from RNAcentral.
CUGCCCCCCGCCCCCUGCGCCGCCGCUGCCAACCCGGAAGGAGCCCGGAGGGGCCCGGGCGGCCAGGGCGCCCCCGCCAGGAGGCCCGCCAGGUGUCCACCUGAGCCCCACGCCCUGCGCCGCGGGGCCCUUUUGGGGGCGGGGUGCCAGCUCCGAGGUGUCCUCCCACGGGCUGUAGACUGGGAAACUGAGGCCCGGGCCACGGUCCCAGACGCAGCCGGGACCCGAACCCACCUCACCUGAGCGAAUGAUAUCCGGGACUCAUCCUUUUUCGACACCUUUGCGGGAUCCAGCCCUCCAAGGAAAGCUUCCUGAGCAGUGCGCGCCACGUGUAUUGGGCACCUCACCGCGGCCACUUCACAUCCUAUCUCAGGUGGAGAAACUAAGCCACAGAAAGGAGCUGUCAUUUACCUAAAGCACCGUGGCAGGGGUUUGGCAGAGCCAGGAUUUGUACCCAGAUCGCCUGACUUCGGAGAGUAACAGCUCUUAACCACAGCACUUCGGUCUAUGCCUUGAUUUCACCAUAUGUAACAAGGGACAAGAGCUUGCCGUGUUGCCCCAGGCUGGUCUCAAACUCCUAGCCUCAAGCAAACUUCCUGUCUCGGCCUUUCAAAACCCUGAGAUUACAAGCAUAAGAAAAGAAAAUCUUGUAAGAUGAAAGCUGAAGGAUGAGAGCAAUUAAUUGAUGAAGUAUGAUGAUCCAGGUGUCCCUGGGUGAAGAAACAACCUCUACAAAGGCCCUGAGGGUCUCGCUCAUCACCAGGCUGGAGUACAGUGACAUGAUCAUGGCUCACUGCAGCCUCAACCUCCCGGGUUCAGGCUAUCCUCCCACCUCAGCCUCCCAGGACCACAGGCGUGUGCCACCAUGCCCAGCUAAUUUUUUGUAGAGAUGGGGUUAUGCCAUGUUGCCCAGGCUGGUCUCGAGCUGCUGGGCACAAGCAAUCUACCCAUCUCAGUCUCCCAAAGUGCUGGCAUUAUAGUCGUGAGCCACUGUGCCCAGCCAACAGCGUCUUUCAAAGAGCAGAGAGAGGUUAAUUUUGAUGAUGUCCAGUUUGCACCUUUGUUGAAAAUUGACCAUAUAUCUGUGAGUCUGUUUCUAGACUCUUUGUUCUGCUUUAUUAAACUACUUGUCUAUUUGUACACCAAUGCCACACUGUCUUCAUUGCUGUGCCUUUGUAAUAAGUUUUAAAGUUAGGUCAUUUAAGUCCUUUAAUUUUGUUCCUCUUUUUCAAAGUUGUUUUGACUAUUCUAAGCUUUUGCAUUUCCAAUACAUUUUGUAAUCAGCUUGUAAAUUUCUACCAAAAAAGCCUGCUGAGACUUUGACUGAAAUUAUGUUGAGUUUGUAGAUUAAUUUGGGAAGAAUUGACAUAUUGACAGUAUCGAGUCUCUCAACCCAUGAACAUGGUAUACCUCUCCAUUUAUUUAGACCUUUAGAGCUUUUUCUCAGAAACAUUUUGUAGCUUUUUUUUUUUUUUUUUGAGACGGAGUCUUGCCCUGUCACCCAGGCUGGAGUGCAGUGGCACGAUUUUGGCUCACUAUAACCUCUGCCUCCCGGGUUCACGCGGUUCUCCUGCCUCAGCCUCCCAGGUUCACGCGGUUCUCCUGCCUCAGCCUCCUGAGUAGCUGGGAUUACAGGCAGGCGCCACCAUGCCCGGCUAAUUUUUGUAUUUUUAGUGGAGACGGGGUUUCACCAUCUUGGCCAGGAUGGUCUCGAUCUCUUGACCUCGUGAUCCGCCCGCCUCAGCCUCCCAAAGUGCUGGGAUUACAGGCAUGAGCCACCACGCCCAGCUUGUUUUGUAGCUUUAAUUGUAUAGGCCUAACAUACUUUUUUGUUCUGUUUAGUCUAUUUCAUAUUUUUAUGCUACCGUAAAUAGUAUUUUUUAAAAUUUCAAUGUCCAGGUGUUUUUUGCUAGUAAUAUAUUUUUUAUGUUGAUCUUGUAUCUUUCAACCUUAUUAUACUCAUUUAUUAGUUCCAGCAGCUUUUUUGCAAAUUCCAUCAGAUUUUUAACUUAGAUGAACAUUUUUUUUUUUGCAAAUAAAGGCAACUUUUCUUCUUUAUAUCAAAUCUGAAUUUUUUUUAUUUCCUUUUCUUGUCUGAUUAUAUGGGCUAGAAUCUCCAAUACAAUGUUGAAUAGAAGUGGUGAGAGUAGACAGACCUGUCUUGUUCAUGAUCUUAGGGGAAAAACAUUAAUGAACCCUAAUGUUCAUUAUAGGGUUUUGUUUGGUAGAUGCCUUUUAUUAGGUAAGAAGAUUCCCUUCUAUUCCUGGCUUGCUUAAUUUUUUUUUUAACAAUCAGGAACGAAUCUUGGAUUUUGCCAAAUGUUUUUUCUGCCUUUAAUGAAAUGAUCUGAUCAUUUUAAUUGUUUAGUCUGUUAAUACAGUGAAUUACACUGAUUGAUUUUCCAGUGUUAAAGCCACUUUGCAGUCCUAGGAGAAAUCCCACUGGUUGUGAUGUACAGUUGUCUUCCCUUAUCCAUGGGGGAUGUGUUCCAAGACCCCUAGUGAAUGCCUGAAACCUCAGAUAGUACCAAACCCUAUAUACACUAUGUUUUUUCCUGUACAGACAUACCUAUGAUAAAGCCUAAUUUAUAAAUUAGGCACAGUAAGAUAUUAACAAUAACUAAUAAUAAAAUAGAACAAUUAUAACAAUAUACUGUAAUAAAAGUUAUAUGAAUGUGGU